RNAcentral lists this long non-coding RNA (1435 nucleotides) under Homo sapiens (human). RNAcentral's name for it is "HSALNT0392967". Lineage: Eukaryota; Metazoa; Chordata; Mammalia; Primates; Hominidae. The record is from RNAcentral.
AAGAAAGGUGUGACAUCCUUGCUGGCUUCAAUGUGAAGAGCCACCCUGAUUCUGGGAUUCUGAUAGGAAUAAGGUAGAUGAUGCAUAUCUGAACCUGGAAACCGCUUCCCACUGUAGAGCGUGUCUGAGUCAUGUCCCUUAGCUUCAGCAGAGCAGAUCCAGCAGGCUCUGAGCUUGACCUCUUUGCCUGAAGCGAGACCUCUAGGUAACGUCUCCAGGGAGGGUGGCACAAAGGAUCCUGGAUCUCCUGAUCACAGCAGCCCAAGAGUGCCGUGUGUGCACCAUGGCUCAAGAAGACUUAAAAAGGGGAAAGUAUGACUAUUUCUAAUCUGUAGUAUUUCAGUAUUUUUAAUGUUUCGGUAAUCUGUAUGAAAAAGAAUUUGCAAUAAAUAGAAUAAUUUGCCUAAAAUUGAAUCUAUUUCACCAAUAAAAUUGGCUUUUAAUCAAGUGAUAAAUCCUGUAAAAUAGAUAAUAAAUGCAGUACCAACAUAGUUUGAUUCUAGUACACUGAGAUAAUCUUGAAUACGUUAAGAAAGUCUUGUUUGUAUAGAAGAGUUUCAAAUCAUGUGAGUGAUGAAGGGACCCUUCUGUUGAACCUUGGUGUGCAUUUUAGGUCCAUUUUGGGUUUACUCCUUUGUGCUGCUUCAUGAUGCCUUAGGACAAGGACAAGGCCUAGGCCUCCUUGUCUCAGUUCCCUCCUGCUCUCUCUGUUGCCCUCCUCCUUCCACCUGGAGCAUGGCCCAGCAUCAGGUUGGCGCAUGCUGUGAUCAGCUACCUCCAUGUACCACACCAAGCAAAGCUCUCUGGGUGACACAGUUGCCACCACCAGGGCACUGACCCUUACUCUGUGUUCUCCUAGCUCCUCCUGAGGGUGCUGUAGGAGACAUCUGCAAAAAAGAAGAUGCUGGCAAUAUGCCAUCAACCUCAGAGGGGAGUAUUUACCUUGAAAUGGCUCACUUCCUGAGGAACAAACUUGCUGGAUCUAGUGUACGGAAACCUGAUUCUGGGUUCCUUUGGGAAGGAGCAUUACGGGCCUGCUCCUGGACCACCUCAUAUCACCAGCACCCUCUACCCAAGGUCCUGGAGCCAACACUGGAGUAAAAGAGCACAAGAGAACUCCUUAGAGGUGGAAGUGGCUGGAAGUUGCAGAGGUUUCAGAAGCUCAUCCAAGAUUCUGGAGCCUCCAUCUCCAGCCCUAAUGCUGUCCGCCUUUUCACCCAGCCACCACCUGUUUCAGGAGAACACACAGAAGUGAUGACCUUUUCUGGACAGGCAAGUAAAUCCUGCUGUUUUUAUUAUUCACGGAAAAAACACUGGCUCAUGGGAGGUGGGAAGGUGACAAACUCAUUCUCCCUGGACCCCAGGAACCACAGAUAGGAUUAUACUGACUACCAGUAUUUUAUUCGGUUAGUUCUACCUACAUGCAUCCUGUAGU